ACCCACGAACCGCGAGAUCGUGACCUGAGCCGAAGUCGGACGCUUAGUCGACUGAGCCACCCGGGCGCCCCAAUACAUUUCCGUUUUUGAAUGCAGCGCCAGGCCUUGGAGUUCAGGAGCUGUUUAACGUGAUGUUCUCCCUGAGCAGUGUCAAGUUGCAUCUCCUAGGUUUCUGUAAUCUGUCCUGGGGAGGAGACGGGCCGUUCCCUUCAUGGUCUGCCAUUUGCUGCUUCAACCGUGUCCACGCCGUGAGCGGCCUGGCCACCUCUCAGAGGACAUGCGGGUGUGGUGGCCCGCACGGCCAGGCUGCUGAUUUGUCCAGGUUGCAGGAACUGGGAUUGUUACGCUGAAAUGAUCCGAAUGCUAAACAUUGCUGAAAUUGCACAAAGGUGCCUGGCUGGCCAAACAGAAAUGCGUGUGGCCCACAUGUAGCUCACGGGCCACGGUAUUUGGCCGCUUGCUGCGCGUGGACGUGGGAUUUCUCUCUGUGCCUCAUGUUCUGUCCCGACUCUUCUUGUUCUCUCAUGGAAAAUGGCAGAAAGUUCUGGAAACCUUCAUUUUGUGCUGCUUUUAAUUGUGAUAAAAUUUACAUAACAGAAAAUUCAUCAUUUGAACCAUCUGAAAGUCUCCAGUUCCGCGGCAGGAAGCACAUCUGCAGUCUGGUGUCACGACUGCCUCCGCCUGGUUCCGGAACCCCGUGUUACCCGGAACAGAAACCCCACACUCCUCUCCCCCGCCACCAGCUCCUGACAACCACUUACCAGCUUUCUGUUUCUGUGUGGUGCUUAAUAGCUUUGCCUAACCCAGGGCCGUGAAGAUAUAUCCCCAGUUCCUUACAAGUUUUAUAGUUGCAAUGCUUACGUGGAAGUUAUUGAUACAUUUCGAGUUAACUUCUGUACGUGGUGUGAGGUAAGGCUCCAGCUCCGUUCUUUUGCACGUGCACGUGCAGCUGUCUCAACUCUGUUUGCCGGAAACACUCUCCUCUCUCCACUGAGGGUCGUGGCCCCUGCUGAGGGCCAGGUGGCUACACGUAGGUGUUUGGGUCACUUCCGGACCCUAGUCCUGUGCAUGUUUAUCCGUGUGUGUGUCCUCAUGCCGGUGCCACAAUGUCUUGAUUCUUGUAAGUUUUGAAGUCAGUAAGUGUGAGUUCUCCAACUUUGCUUUUCUCUUUAAAGGUUCUUUUGGCUCUUCGGGGUCGCUGAAGUGUCACCUGAACUUGAGGGUUCAGCCAGCUGGGAUUCUGAUAGGGAUUGCCUUGAAUCUGAUCGAUUCGGGAAGUAUCGGAGCGGCCGCAUCUGACAGUCCCCCGCCCGACUGCGUGUGUGCGGCAGCAGGGGCAGCUGAGAUGGAGGCCAGUGCUCCCUCCCCCUCUGCACAGUGCACUUACCUGCAAAGUCCAAGGUCGAAAGGCGAGACGUGUGGAGGCCGUGCCCACCUGCUCUGGCAGAUGUGCAAGACUCUGGUGGGGAUGCACUCGGGCUGUGUCCUGAGCACACAGCCCGUCACACUUGAUCCCUGUUGGCCCCUCCAGAACGCAGGCCUUCUCCUGUGGGCUUGUCCAGCCGCAGCCCUGACGUUUGUGCAGUUUAGCACCCCACGCGCCCGUGGCCUGAAUCUGCAUCGUCCCCGGGUCUGAGGCCCGCCUGGGGCCUUCUGUCAGCCCUGUCCUGCUGAGGCUGAAACUCCCACAGCCACUAGUGUCUGGUCUCUGCUUGGGGGCCAAUCCGGACAAGACCUUUGAAUAAGGAUCCCAAGCGGACGGGUAGCUUGCCUUCCGCGGCCGCACAGCAGAGACCCUGUGAGUCCAAGCGCAAGGCUUUCCCUGGCCCUCGUUAGCGUCUGUCCUCCGGGUCAGAACCCGCCUGCUCACAGAGACACGCCUCAGGCCAGAGAGUCACCGCCAAGGGCUCAUCAGCCGCCCCACCAGCUUGUCAGACUCCAGUGUGUCUCCGUUUGCAGGGAGCACCUGUGUCCCCAGAGGCUCCAGUAGAGGAAACGAUGGUAAAAAGCCACCAUUUAGGGAGACUCGAGUUUCCAAUACUCAGCUUAAAUUCUGACCCUCCCAGUGGCUGCACGACACAAGGCUGUGGGGUUCCACUAGUGUUUUUUCUUGGCACUUUUUCUGAGUGGGACGAUCCCUUUAGCAUUUAUGAAGUUACCAGCAUUUAACGUUUUGUAUCGAUAUUUUACUACACAGGUGGAUGCAGUAGCCACAAAACAAAGCCAUUACAAAAAUUCCA
Long non-coding RNA from Herpailurus yagouaroundi (jaguarundi), 2240 nucleotides. RefSeq lists it as uncharacterized. The transcript is spliced from 3 exons. The record is from RefSeq and is a predicted model, not a curated record. Lineage: Eukaryota; Metazoa; Chordata; Mammalia; Carnivora; Felidae.